RNAcentral lists this ribosomal RNA (429 nucleotides) under Pseudomonadota bacterium. RNAcentral's name for it is "Proteobacteria bacterium partial 16S ribosomal RNA". It matches the Rfam family "Bacterial small subunit ribosomal RNA", at positions 355 to 776 of the family's 1533-position model. The record is from RNAcentral. Lineage: Bacteria; Pseudomonadati; Pseudomonadota.
UGGGGAAUAUUGGACAAUGGGCGAAAGCCUGAUCCAGCCAUGCCGCGUGUGUGAAGAAGGUCUUCGGAUUGUAAAGCACUUUAAGUUGGGAGGAAGGGCAGUAAGCGAAUACCUUGCUGUUUUGACGUUACCGACAGAAUAAGCACCGGCUAACUCUGUGCCAGCAGCCGCGGUAAUACAGAGGGUGCAAGCGUUAAUCGGAAUUACUGGGCGUAAAGCGCGCGUAGGUGGUUCGUUAAGUUGAAUGUGAAAGCCCCGGGCUCAACCUGGGAACUGCAUCCAAAACUGGCGAGCUAGAGUAGGGCAGAGGGUGGUGGAAUUUCCUGUGUAGCGGUGAAAUGCGUAGAUAUAGGAAGGAACACAAGUGGCGAAGGCGACCACCUGGGCUCAUACUGACACUGAGGUGCGAAAGCGUGGGGAGCAAACAGG